This 251-nucleotide ribosomal RNA is filed under the name uncultured prokaryote. RNAcentral's name for it is "partial 16S rRNA". It matches the Rfam family "Bacterial small subunit ribosomal RNA", at positions 525 to 775 of the family's 1533-position model. The record is from RNAcentral.
ACGUAGGUGACGAGCGUUGUUCGGAAUUAUUGGGCGUAAAGGGUUCGUAGGAGGUUUAUUAAGAUUGGUGUGAAAUCCCAAGGCUCAACCUUGGAACUGCAUUGAUUACUGAUGAACUAGAGUGUCGUAGAGGAAAGCGGAAUUCCAGGUGGAGAGGUUGAAUGCGUAGAUAUCUGGAAGAACAACGAAAGCGAAGGCAGCUUUCAGGACGAUAACUGACUCUUAGGAACGAAAGCGUGGUGAUCAAACAG